Molecule: ribosomal RNA, 609 nt
Filed under: Hydraena chiesai
Lineage: Eukaryota; Metazoa; Arthropoda; Insecta; Coleoptera; Hydraenidae
Description: partial 16S ribosomal RNA
Rfam family: Bacterial large subunit ribosomal RNA
Source: RNAcentral
GUCCUUUUGAUAAUAAUAUAAGGUCUAACCUGCCCACUGAAAUUUUAAAGGGCCGCAGUAUUUUAACUGUGCAAAGGUAGCAUAAUAAUUAGUUUCUUAAUUAGAAGCUGGUAUGAAUGGUUGAACGAGAAAUUUACUGUCUCAAUUUAUAUAUUAAAAUUUUAUUUUUAAGUUAAAAAGCUUAAAUUUAUUUAAAAGACGAGAAGACCCUAUAGAGUUUUAUAAAUUUAAGUAUAUUAAUUUUAGAAUUUUUUUUUAUUUAAAUUUAUUUUAUUGGGGUGAUAUAUAAAUUUAAUAAACUUUAUAUUUUUGAUUACAUUAAUUAAUGUUAAAUUGAUCCAUAUAAAUGAUUAAAAGAAAAAAUUACCUUAGGGAUAACAGCGUAAUUUUUUUUUAGAGUUCUAAUCGAAAAAAAAGAUUGCGACCUCGAUGUUGGAUUAAAAUUAAUUUUUGGUGUAGAAGCUAAAAUAUUAGGUCUGUUCGACCUUUAAAAUUUUACAUGAUCUGAGUUUAAACCGGUGUGAGCCAGGUUGGUUUCUAUCUUUAAAUUAAAUAAAUAUUUUAGUACGAAAGGACCAAGUAUUUUUAAAAUUUAAUAUUUUUUGAAUA